Long non-coding RNA from Lolium rigidum, 382 nucleotides. RefSeq lists it as uncharacterized. The record is from RefSeq and is a predicted model, not a curated record. The transcript has 3 exons. NCBI's taxonomy places the organism in Eukaryota, Viridiplantae, Streptophyta, Magnoliopsida, Poales, Poaceae.
GGCGUCAUCUACCAUGGGUUUAGCUCAGCCUGGUUCACCUGUGAUUGAUGAUCCAAAGAAAGCCCCGCCAUCAACUACCACAAUUUAAACAGAUAAGAGACCGGGCUAUUAGAAUCAAUCUCGAGGUCCCAAUAUGGAGAAGCGUCUCGAGAAGACGAGGAAGCAAUCCUAGGCUGAGAAGCAUGAUGUGCUAGGCGGGUGGUUGCCAUGUAUAAAUUAACCCUUUAGUAACUAUUGUAUUAUGUUGUUAUGCCUUAUAAUUUCAAGUAGCAUGUUAUUUCUUAAGUAUCUAUUGCAUGUGUUCUGUGUACUGCUCUAUAUCAACUAUGUUCAAGCCAUGCUUGAUGCUACUUGCUUAUCAUCAAUUUCUAUAAACACUUAA